AUACAGAGGGUGCAAGCGUUAAUCGGAAUUGCUGGGCGUAAAGCGCGCGUAGGCGGUUUUGUAAGUCGGAUGUGAAAGCCCUGAGCUCGACUCAGGAACUGCAUUCGAUACUGCAUGACUAGAGUAUGGUAGAGGGAAGUGGAAUUCCAGGUGUAGCGGUGAAAUGCGUAGAUAUCUGGAGGAACAUCAGUGGCGAAGGCGACUUCCUGGACCAAUACUGACGCUGAGGUGCGAAAGCGUGGGGAGCAAACAGGAUUAGAAACCCUAGUAGUCC
RNAcentral lists this ribosomal RNA (274 nucleotides) under uncultured bacterium. RNAcentral describes it as "partial 16S ribosomal RNA". It matches the Rfam family "Bacterial small subunit ribosomal RNA", at positions 523 to 796 of the family's 1533-position model. The record is from RNAcentral.